UGGCUAAGGGGAUGGAGUCAGCAUGAA
RNAcentral lists this non-coding RNA (27 nucleotides) under Homo sapiens (human). The record is from RNAcentral. Lineage: Eukaryota; Metazoa; Chordata; Mammalia; Primates; Hominidae.